UAAUUAGAUGUAUACAAAGACCUCCGUUGACGUUUUCAUUGCUUCCUGUCACUUUUUUCCUUUUCAAAAUACAAUGAACUAUGCAGUAUUAAGAACAACUGUUGUAAAAUUGUUGCCUUGAGCGAGAGGUGAACCCGUGACCUCUUGCCUGCCAGUUAAUCGUAAGCAUUGCAGUAGAGCAAAAAUGUGAAUGAAGACACCAUACUUUCCAUGAAUGGGACAGCUUCUAUGGCAUUUGGCUUUUGACUUUUCACAUUUACAGCGAGUUCAGUUACAGUCGCUUGUACAAUUGCAGUAUUGAAGUCCUUAACCUUCUAAAUUAGAAGAUGAAUUAAAGAUGUGACUGAAAAGAUAUAUCAAGAUUAUGUGUUGAACUCGGCGCUUUUUUCUGCAACUCCACUAUUUUAUCUAGGCAAAAGUUUCAAGCUAUUCUCAAAUAUCAAGUUACCUACAACGAAAUAAAUAGUCAAAUCAUCAUAUAUAUAUAUAAAUAUAUAUGUGUGCGUACAUGUGUGCUUAUGUAUGUCCAUAUAUCCAUUAAAUAUCUGAAAACGGGCUAAUCUAGAAA
This is a long non-coding RNA of Stegodyphus dumicola, 568 nucleotides long. NCBI's taxonomy places the organism in Eukaryota, Metazoa, Arthropoda, Arachnida, Araneae, Eresidae. The record is from RefSeq and is a predicted model, not a curated record.